RNAcentral lists this ribosomal RNA (447 nucleotides) under uncultured bacterium. Its description in RNAcentral is "bacterial SSU rRNA". It matches the Rfam family "Bacterial small subunit ribosomal RNA", at positions 355 to 825 of the family's 1533-position model. The record is from RNAcentral.
UCGGGAAUUUUGGGCAAUGGGCGAAAGCCUGACCCAGCAACGCCGCGUGAAGGAUGAAGUAUUUCGGUAUGUAAACUUCGAAAGAAUAGGAAGAAUAAAUGACGGUACUAUUUAUAAGGUCCGGCUAACUACGUGCCAGCAGCCGCGGUAAUACGUAGGGACCAAGCGUUGUUCGGAUUUACUGGGCGUAAAGGGCGCGUAGGCGGCAUGACAAGUCACUUGUGAAAUCUCUGGGCUUAACCCAGAACGGCCAAGUGAUACUGUCGCGCUAGAGUGCAGAAGGGGCAAUCGGAAUUCUUGGUGUAGCGGUGAAAUGCGUAGAUAUCAAGAGGAACACCUGAGGUGAAGACGGGUUGCUGGGCUGACACUGACGCUGAGGCGCGAAAGCCAGGGGAGCAAACGGGAUUAGAUACCCCUGUAGUCCCUGAGCGGGCUGGCAAGGCGCAU